GCAUAUCAAUAAGCGGAGGAAAAGAAACCAACAGGGAUUGCCCUAGUAACGGCGAGUGAAGCGGCAACAGCUCAAAUUUGAAAUCUGGCUUUCGGGCCCGAGUUGUAAUUUGUAGAGGAUGAUUUUGAUGCGGUGCCUUCCGAGUUCCCUGGAACGGGACGCCAUAGAGGGUGAGAGCCCCGUCUGGUUGGAUGCCAAAUCUCUGUAAAUCUCCUUCGACGAGUCGAGUAGUUUGGGAAUGCUGCUCUAAAUGGGAGGUAUAUGUCUUCUAAAGCUAAAUACCGGCCAGAGACCGAUAGCGCACAAGUAGAGUGAUCGAAAGAUGAAAAGCACUUUGAAAAGAGAGUUAAAAAGUACGUGAAAUUGUUGAAAGGGAAGCGUUUAUGACCAGACUUGGGCUUGGUUAAUCAUCUGGGGUUCUCUCCAGUGCACUUUUCCAGUCCAGGCCAGCAUCAGUUUUCGCCGGGGGAUAAAGGCUUCGGGAAUGUGGCUCCCCUCGGGGAGUGUUAUAGCCCGUUGUGUAAUACCCUGGRGGGGACUGAGGUUCGCGCUUCUGCAAGGAUGCUGGCGUAAUGGUCAUCAACGACCCGUCUUGAAACACGGACCAAGGAGUCGUCUUCGUAUGCGAGUGUUCGGGUGUCAAACCCCUACGCGUAAUGAAAGUGAACGCAGGUGAGAGCUUCGGCGCAUCAUCGACCGAUCCUGAUGUUCUCGGAUGGAUUUGAGUAAGAGCAUACGGGGCCGGACCCGAAAGAAGGUGAACUAUGCCUGUGUAGGGUGAAGCCAGAGGAAACUCUGGUGGAGGCUCGCAGCGGUUCUGACGUGCAAAUCGAUCGUCAAACAUGGGCA
This 849-nucleotide ribosomal RNA is filed under the name Fusarium graminearum. RNAcentral describes it as "LSU rRNA". It matches the Rfam family "Eukaryotic large subunit ribosomal RNA", at positions 38 to 917 of the family's 3401-position model. Lineage: Eukaryota; Fungi; Ascomycota; Sordariomycetes; Hypocreales; Nectriaceae. The record is from RNAcentral.